GAUGAACGCUGGCGGCGUGCCUAAUACAUGCAAGUCGAGCGAACAGACGAGGAGCUUGCUCCUCUGACGUUAGCGGCGGACGGGUGAGUAACACGUGGAUAACCUACCUAUAAGACUGGGAUAACUUCGGGAAACCGGAGCUAAUACCGGAUAAUAUAUUGAACCGCAUGGUUCAAUAGUGGAAGACGGUUUUGCUGUCACUUAUAGAUGGAUCCGCGCCGCAUUAGCUAGUUGGUAAGGUAACGGCUUACCAAGGCAACGAUGCGUAGCCGACCUGAGAGGGUGAUCGGCCAAACUGGAACUGAGACACGGUCCAGACUCCUACGGGAGGCAGCAGUAGGGAAUCUUCCGCAAUGGGCGAAAGCCUGACGGAGCAACGCCGCGUGAGUGAUGAAGGUCUUCGGAUCGUAAAACUCUGUUAUUAGGGAAGAACAAAUGUGUAAGUAACUAUGCACGUCUUGACGGUACCUAAUCAGAAAGCCACGGCUAACUACGUG
Molecule: ribosomal RNA, 497 nt
Filed under: uncultured bacterium
Lineage: Bacteria
Description: partial 16S ribosomal RNA
Rfam family: Bacterial small subunit ribosomal RNA
Source: RNAcentral